GGUUAAGCGACUAAGCGUACACGGUGGAUGCCCUGGCAGUCAGAGGCGAUGAAGGACGUGCUAAUCUGCGAUAAGCGUCGGUAAGGUGAUAUGAACCGUUAUAACCGGCGAUUUCCGAAUGGGGAAACCCAGUGUGUUUCGACACACUAUCAUUAACUGAAUCCAUAGGUUAAUGAGGCGAACCGGGGGAACUGAAACAUCUAAGUACCCCGAGGAAAAGAAAUCAACCGAGAUUCCCCCAGUAGCGGCGAGCGAACGGGGAGCAGCCCAGAGCCUGAAUCAGUGUGUGUGUUAGUGGAAGCGUCUGGAAAGGCGCGCGAUACAGGGUGACAGCCCCGUACACAAAAAUGCACAUAUUGUGAGCUCGAUGAGUAGGGCGGGACACGUGGUAUCCUGUCUGAAUAUGGGGGGACCAUCCUCCAAGGCUAAAUACUCCUGACUGACCGAUAGUGAACCAGUACCGUGAGGGAAAGGCGAAAAGAACCCCG
This 488-nucleotide ribosomal RNA is filed under the name Escherichia coli. RNAcentral describes it as "partial 23S ribosomal RNA". It matches the Rfam family "Bacterial large subunit ribosomal RNA", at positions 1 to 528 of the family's 2925-position model. The record is from RNAcentral. Lineage: Bacteria; Pseudomonadati; Pseudomonadota; Gammaproteobacteria; Enterobacterales; Enterobacteriaceae.